RNAcentral lists this unclassified non-coding RNA (488 nucleotides) under Hevea brasiliensis (rubber tree). The record is from RNAcentral. Lineage: Eukaryota; Viridiplantae; Streptophyta; Magnoliopsida; Malpighiales; Euphorbiaceae.
GCUCUACUUUUUUUCAUUUCUCAGAAAAUCUGAAUCUCUAGAAAUUUCGAAAUCCUUUUUUCCGAUUUACAUUUUCUUUUGCCAGUCAGUUCUUCUGCUUCGAAGAUUUCUCCUUUCAAUUCCUCUUAUCGCCUGGUUUCGGCAAAUUGGAACAGAUACGAGGGGUAGAAUUGGUAAAAGAAAGAAAUCUGCAUGAACUGGUUGGGAAAGCUGGGUUACUAUUUUCUGUCGUCGAAUUCGAACCAUUUCUUAACGCGAUUUUUGAUAUUUUUUCUUCAUUUCUCUCCUCAAUUUUCUCCAUCAUCAUUUUAUAAUAAGAAGAUAAAUUUUUCGUCGUUAUCAUCAUCAUCAUCAUCAUCGUCAAUUAGCAGUAAUCUAAUUCCUAAGUCUAUCUCUAAUCGUUGGUUAUUAUUGAAUCAUGGAGUCUGGAUUCAGGAGUAAUCGCCAGCAAUUGCGUCGAGCUCUUUGUUAUUCGAAUGAUGGGAGGA